This 455-nucleotide long non-coding RNA is filed under the name Anas platyrhynchos platyrhynchos (common mallard). RNAcentral's name for it is "lncRNA (ENSAPLG00000019234.1)". Lineage: Eukaryota; Metazoa; Chordata; Aves; Anseriformes; Anatidae. The record is from RNAcentral.
GCCUGCCCUCUCCUCUGUUAAGAUGAAGUUUGAAAUAAGGGGGAGGCACAGCUAUGAUGCUGUUAUCUCAUUAUCUCCCUUGGCAGUAGAUCCUUGGAGGAUCUACCCAGAAGGAAAACUUAGACCAGUAUCUUCAAGCUGCUUGUAGCCCUUUCUGCUGGCUACUACAAGAACUGUGAAUGUCAGAGUGGUGAUCAUGCUAAUUGUACAGGAAGAAGCUGUGACCUCCUCAUCCUCUGAAAAUGUUUCCGCUGAGGAUGUGAGAGUACACAAAUGGUGCCAAGCAACUGAAUGCAUGCAGAAGUGGUCAAAACAGCGAGUAAUAGGAAGUGUCUGCAUCUCCUUACAAGAUUUUGCUGCAAGGUCUUUCAGAUCACCAUCUAAUUCAAGUCAGUGGCAGUUGUGAACUACUUCCAUCUAAUAAAGUUUGAGAACUGAUUAAUGGUUCUAUUUCC